UGGGGAAUAUUGGACAAUGGGCGCAAGCCUGAUCCAGCAAUGCCGCGUGUGUGAAGAAGGCCUGCGGGUUGUAAAGCACUUUAAGCAGGGAGGAAGGCUCUGGGGAUAAUACCCUUGGAGAUUGACGUUACCUGCAGAAUAAGCACCGGCUAACUCCGUG
Molecule: ribosomal RNA, 160 nt
Filed under: uncultured bacterium
Lineage: Bacteria
Description: partial 16S ribosomal RNA
Rfam family: Bacterial small subunit ribosomal RNA
Source: RNAcentral